GACGAACGCUGGCGGCGUGCUUAACACAUGCAAGUCGAACGGCAAGACACUACUUUCGUGGGGUGAUCGAGUGGCGAACGGGGGCGUAACACGUGAGUAACCUGACCUAGACUUUGGGAUAACUUCAGGAAAGUGGGGCUAAUACCGGACCGGAGAUCAUGUUGCAUGGAGGGCGUUGGAAAGUCUCGGCGGUUGUGGAUGGACUAGCGGGUUAUCAGCUAGGUGGUGGGGUAGUGGAAUACCCAGUAUUUGACCGAUACCCCGCCCGAGAGCGUGACCGGCCACAAUAGGACUGAGAGACGGCCCAGAGUGCUACGGUAGGCAACAGUGGGGAGUAUUGCACAAUGAUCGGAAGCCUGAGGCAGCAGCGCCGCGUGCGGAAUGACGUCCUUCUGGUUGUGAACCGCUUUCGCUUGUGACGAAGCUUGACUGACGGUAAUGAGUAAAGAAGCACCGGCUAACUACGUG
Molecule: ribosomal RNA, 468 nt
Filed under: uncultured bacterium
Lineage: Bacteria
Description: partial 16S ribosomal RNA
Rfam family: Bacterial small subunit ribosomal RNA
Source: RNAcentral